This 837-nucleotide non-coding RNA is filed under the name nr. Quasitermes sp. The record is from RNAcentral. Lineage: Eukaryota; Metazoa; Arthropoda; Insecta; Blattodea; Termitidae.
GUUAAGUUUUAUUCUUGCUUUUUCAUUCAGUUUUUAUUUGUUCUAUAUGUAAGUUUGUGCGUGAGUUGUGUUGUGAUUCUAGAUGGAUUACUCUGUUGUUUGGGCUUAAAAGGGGGCCUAGAAUAAUCCUCAUUAGUUAUUUUUAGUUGAUCAAGUAUUCUUGUAUUUAGCAAUAUAUUUUAGUUUCGGUUAAAUUUUGUGCCAGCAGCCGCGGUUAUACCUUGGAGGCAUUUGAAUGUGUUCGGCAUUUGGUAGUUACAUUAUUGGUUCGUUUAUGUUAGAUUUUGCUUUGAUGGUUUUUAGGUGAAAUUUUUACUUUUGUUGUCUUUCUUUUGUUUGUUUGGAGGCUAUGAAAUUCUUUUUAUAGACUAGGAUUAGAUACCCUAUUAUUUUAGAAUGUUAAAUUUUUGUGUCUGAGUAGUAUUAGUUAUGUUCUUGAAACUUAAAGAAUUUGGCGGUAUCUCAUUCCUUCCAGAGGAAUCUGUCUCGUUAUCGAUAGUCCGCGUUGGACCUUACUUAGUUGCUUUGGUUUGUAUACCGCCGUUUAUUGAUUAUCUUUUUAGGGUUAGUUUAAUUUUCUGGUUUCUUUAUUUUGUUUUAUUUCAGGUCAAGGUGCAGCUUGUUUCUAAGUGAAUGAUGGAUUACACUGUAAUUUGUUUAUUGGAUUGUUGAUUUUAAUAUUGGCAUGAAAUUGGAUUUGGUUGUAAUGAUUUGUAGUUUGUUAUUGUGAUAGUUGGUUCUGAGAUAUGUACACAUCGCCCGUCGCUCUCGUUUGUUGUUAAUGAGAUAAGUCGUAACAAAGUGGCUGUACCGGAAGGUGCAGCUGGGUUGAAUUAA